GAUCCUGGCUCAGGAUGAACGCUAGCUACAGGCUUAACACAUGCAAGUCGAGGGGAAACGACAUCGAAAGCUUGCUUUUGAUGGGCGUCGACCGGCGCACGGGUGAGUAACGCGUAUCCAACCUGCCCAUCACUUGGGGAUAACCUUGCGAAAGUAAGACUAAUACCCAAUGAUAUCUCUAGAAGACACCUGAAGAGAUAAAGAUUAUCGGUGAUGGAUGGGGAGUGCGU
Molecule: ribosomal RNA, 230 nt
Filed under: uncultured bacterium
Lineage: Bacteria
Description: partial 16S ribosomal RNA
Rfam family: Bacterial small subunit ribosomal RNA
Source: RNAcentral